AUUGAACGCUGGCGGCAGGCCUAACACAUGCAAGUCGAGCGGGGUUUUCGGACCUAGCGGCGGACGGGUGAGUAAUGCGUAGGAAGCUACCCGAUAGAGGGGGAUACCAGUUGGAAACGACUGUUAAUACCGCAUAAUGUCUACGGACCAAAGUGUGGGAUCUUCGGGCCACAUGCUAUCGGAUGCGCCUACGUGGGAUUAGCUAGUUGGCGAGGUAAUGGAUCACCAAGGCGACGAUCCCUAGCUGGUUUGAGAGGAUGAUCAGUCACACUGGAACUGAGACACGGUCCAGACUCCUACGGGAGGCAGCAGUGGGGAAUAUUGGACAAUGGGCGCAAGCCUGAUCCAGCCAUGCCGCGUGUGUGAAGAAGGCCUUCGGGUUGUAAAGCACUUUCAGUAGGGAGGAAGCGUUGUGUGUUAAUAGUACACAGCGUUGACGUUACCUACAGAAGAAGCACCGGCUAACUCUGUGCCAGCAGCCGCAGUAA
This 488-nucleotide ribosomal RNA is filed under the name uncultured bacterium. RNAcentral describes it as "partial 16S ribosomal RNA". It matches the Rfam family "Bacterial small subunit ribosomal RNA", at positions 30 to 523 of the family's 1533-position model. The record is from RNAcentral.